ACAUAAUGCAACUAGCAUCCCCCACAUUGGAACUGAGACACGGUCCAAACUCCUACGGGAGGCAGCAGUGAGGAAUAUUGGUCAAUGGGCGAGAGCCUGAACCAGCCAAGUAGCGUGCAGGAAGACGGCCCUAUGGGUUGUAAACUGCUUUUAUAAGGGAAUAAAGUUAGUCUCGUGGGACUUUUUGCAUGUACCUUAUGAAUAAGGACCGGCUAAUUCCGUGCCAGCAGCCGCGGUAAUACGGAAGGUCCGGGCGUUAUCCGGAUUUAUUGGGUUUAAAGGGGGCGUAGGCCGGAGAUUAAGCGUGUUGUGAAAUGUAGACGCUCAACGUCUGCACUGCAGCGCGAACUGGUUUCCUUGAGUACGCACAAAGUGGGCGGAAUUCGUGGUGUAGCGGUGAAAUGCUUAGAUAUCACGAAGAACUCCGAUUGCGAAGGCAGCUCACUGGAGCGCAACUGACGCUGAAGCUCGAAAGUGCGGGUAUCGAACAGGAUUAGAUACCCUGGUAGUCCGCACGGUAAACGAUGGAUGCCCGCUGUUGGUCUGAACAGGUCAGCGGCCAAGCGAAAGCAUUAAGCAUCCCACCUGGGGAGUACGCCGGCAACGGUGAAACUCAAAGGAAUUGACGGGGGCCCGCACAAGCGGAGGAACAUGUGGUUUAAUUCGAUGAUACGCGAGGAACCUUACCCGGGCUUGAAUUGCAGAGGAAGGAUUUGGAGACAAUGACGCCCUUCGGGGUCUCUGUGAAGGUGCUGCAUGGUUGUCGUCAGCUCGUGCCGUGAGGUGUCGGCUUAAGUGCCAUAACGAGCGCAACCCCUCUCCUUAGUUGCCAUCAGGUUAAGCUGGGCACUCUGGGGACACUGCCACCGUAAGGUGUGAGGAAGGUGGGGAUGACGUCAAAUCAGCACGGCCCUUACGUCCGGGGCUACACACGUGUUACAAUGGCAGGUACAGAGAGACGGUUGUACGUAAGUACGAUCAAAUCCUUAAAGCCUGUCUCAGUUCGGACUGGGGUCUGCAACCCGACCCCACGAAGCUGGAUUCGCUAGUAAUCGCGCAUCAGCCAUGGCGCGGUGAAUACGUUCCCGGGCCUUGUACACACCGCCCGUCAAGCCAUGAAAGCCGGGGGCGCCUAAAGUCCGUGACCGUAAGGAGCGGCCUAGGGCGAAACUGGUAAUUGGGGCUAAGUCGGAACAAGGUA
This 1201-nucleotide ribosomal RNA is filed under the name metagenome. RNAcentral describes it as "bacterial SSU rRNA". It matches the Rfam family "Bacterial small subunit ribosomal RNA", at positions 295 to 1498 of the family's 1533-position model. The record is from RNAcentral.